GGUAACUUAGUCUUAUACUCAUUAUUAAUGGAUCACCAACCUAUUCAUCUAUAUUAAUAUUCAAGAAGAGUUUAUCAUAUCUCCCCGUCACCCCAACCAAACAAUUUUAACUUAAAUAAAAGCUCUUCCCAAGUUUACUUAUAAUUAUGAACUGUCAAACUCUAUAGGGUCUUCUCGUCCUCCAAUUUUAUUUUAGCCUUUUAACUAAAAAGUUAAAUUUUAAUUCAAUCCCCAUGAGACAGUUAACACCUCGUCCAACCAUUCAUACCAGCCCCUAAUUAAGAGACUAAUGAUUAUGCUACCUUUGCACGGUCAAAAUACCGCGGCCCUUCAAUCUUCAGUGGGCAGGCUAGACCUCUUAUACUUCCAAGAAGCGAUGUUUUUGAUAAACAGGCGAGCAUUAAUUUGCCGAAUUCCUUACAAAGACCUUUCUUAGAACACUAUUAUUACAACAUCUUAUAUUAAUUUUAUCAUUAUUACUCAUUCCUUCUUGUUCUGAAUGGCACUUUGAUAUAUAAAUUAAACCUUUCAAAAUUAAACUUCUCUUCAAUAAACUAUAACGUUAUUAUUAGUUGGCUGAUUUCAAGCCUACACUUAUAAGUUCCUAACCUGGUUAUAAACAUAUCGUUAAGCUUAUCCCCCAAAAUAUUAGAAAUAGACACCUAAACCAACUCACAAUUACCAGUUUAGCGCCUUUACCUGAAUUCAAUUCAUUUCUCAAAGAACUAGAAACCUUUAAGUUCGUCUAACAUCUCGUUUCUAAAAUGAUAUCAAUGAUAAAUUUGCAACCUUAACCAUUCUAUCUUUUUAGCUCACCUAAAAUCGAGAAAACAAAAUCCAUCCUUUCACUUAAUAAACCCUGAUACACAAGGUACAACAUUUAAUCUACUUUUUACCAACUCCUUUUUCACUUCUUUCAACUUUCCUUCUCAGUACUCCCUUUAUUAUUCACUCUAUAAUUUCUCUACCCAAUACUCAUCCUUUUAUAUUUAUAUUGAUUCACCUACUCAACUCCAAUAACUCACCUUCUUAAUUAGUGCACUUUUCAAAAUAAAUUGAAUUGCACAACAACUUUUCAAUGUAAAUGAAAUGCUUUACUCAACAAGCUCUA
This 1111-nucleotide ribosomal RNA is filed under the name Dipteromimus tipuliformis. RNAcentral describes it as "partial 16S ribosomal RNA". The record is from RNAcentral. Lineage: Eukaryota; Metazoa; Arthropoda; Insecta; Ephemeroptera; Dipteromimidae.